Molecule: transfer RNA, 66 nt
Filed under: Sinacroneuria dabieshana
Lineage: Eukaryota; Metazoa; Arthropoda; Insecta; Plecoptera; Perlidae
Description: tRNA-Tyr
Rfam family: tRNA
About the family: Transfer RNA (tRNA) molecules are approximately 80 nucleotides in length. Their secondary structure includes four short double-helical elements and three loops (D, anti-codon, and T loops). Further hydrogen bonds mediate the characteristic L-shaped molecular structure. tRNAs have two regions of fundamental functional importance: the anti-codon, which is responsible for specific mRNA codon recognition, and the 3' end, to which the tRNAs corresponding amino acid is attached (by aminoacyl-tRNA synthetases). tRNAs cope with the degeneracy of the genetic code in two manners: having more than one tRNA (with a specific anti-codon) for a particular amino acid; and 'wobble' base-pairing, i.e. permitting non-standard base-pairing at the 3rd anti-codon position.
Source: RNAcentral
GGCAGGGUGGCUGAGUUGCAGGCGAUAGAUUGUAAAUCUAGUUACGAGAUUAAUUCUCUCAUGCCG